CCCUUAGAUGUUCUGGGCGGCCCGCGCACUACACUGGCACUCCCAAUCAGAGCCUGGAUCUAACACUUUGGGGUAUUCUAUGAAGUGGUGUCGUGACUGGGAUUAACCCUUGCAAUUAUUGGUUACGAACGAGGAAUUCCUUGUAAUCGCGGUUUAUCAGCCCGCGUUGAAUGCGUCCCUGCCCUUUGUACACACCGCCCGUCGCUCCUACCGAUGGAUCGUCCGGUGAAGCUCAUGGAGGGGCGGUUGUCUCAGCUGCCGUCGAAGUGAAAUGGACCUCACGAUCUAGAGGAAGGAGAAGUCGUAACA
RNAcentral lists this ribosomal RNA (309 nucleotides) under uncultured eukaryote. Its description in RNAcentral is "partial 18S ribosomal RNA". It matches the Rfam family "Eukaryotic small subunit ribosomal RNA", at positions 1470 to 1796 of the family's 1831-position model. The record is from RNAcentral.